GCUGGCGGCGUGCUUAACACAUGCAAGUCGAACGGGGUCCAUGGAGCUUGCUCCGGAAGACCUAGUGGCGAACGGGUGCGUAACACGUGAGAAACCUGCCCUGGACUUGGGAAUAACAGUCGGAAACGACUGCUAAUACCGAAUACCUUCACACCGUCGCAUGGCGGAGUGAAGAAAGCUUUUGCGGUCUGGGAGGGUCUCGCGGCCUAUCAGCUAGUUGGUGAGGUAACGGCUCACCAAGGCAUCGACGGGUAGCUGGUCUGAGAGGAUGAUCAGC
RNAcentral lists this ribosomal RNA (277 nucleotides) under uncultured bacterium. RNAcentral describes it as "partial 16S ribosomal RNA". It matches the Rfam family "Bacterial small subunit ribosomal RNA", at positions 35 to 308 of the family's 1533-position model. The record is from RNAcentral.